RNAcentral lists this ribosomal RNA (493 nucleotides) under uncultured bacterium. RNAcentral's name for it is "bacterial SSU rRNA". It matches the Rfam family "Bacterial small subunit ribosomal RNA", at positions 192 to 705 of the family's 1533-position model. The record is from RNAcentral.
ACCGCAUGGUAAAAACUCCGGUGGUAUAGGAUGGGCCCGCGUCUGAUUAGCUAGUUGGAGGUGUAACGGACCACCGAGGCGACGAUCAGUAGCCGGCUUGAGAGAGUGAACGGCCACAUUGGGACUGAGACACGGCCCAAACUCCUACGGGAGGCAGCAGUGGGGAAUAUUGCACAAUGGGGGAAACCCUGAUGCAGCAACGCCGCGUGAGUGAAGAAGUAUUUCGGUAUGUAAAGCUCUAUCAGCAGGGAAGAAAAUGACGGUACCUGACUAAGAAGCCCCGGCUAACUACGUGCCAGCAGCCGCGGUAAUACGUAGGGGGCAAGCGUUAUCCGGAUUUACUGGGUGUAAAGGGAGCGCAGGCGGUCUGGCAAGUCUGAUGUGAAAUCCCGGGGCUCAACCCUGGAACUGCAUUGGAAACUGUCAGACUAGAGUGCCGGAGAGGUAAGUGGAAUUCCUAGUGUAGCGGUGAAAUGCGUAGAUAUUAGGAGGA